CCACGGGUGGCUCCAGUAAGGAAUAUUGCGCAAUGGAGGCAACUCUGACGCAGCCAUGCCGCGUGCAGGAAGAAGGCCUUAUGGGUCGUAAACUGCUUUUAUUUAGGAAUAAACCCCCGAACGUGUUCGGGGCUGAAGGUACUAAACGAAUAAGCACCGGCUAACUCGGUGCCAGCAGCCGCGGUAAUACGGAGGGUGCAAGCGUUAUCCGGAUUUAUUGGGUUUAAAGGGUGCGCAGGCGGGCUAUUAAGUCAGUGGUGAAAUCCCGGGGCUCAACUCCGGAACUGCCAUUGAUACUGAUAGUCUUGAGUUUGGUUGAAGUGGGCGGAAUGUAGCAUGUAGCGGUGAAAUGCAUAGAUAUGCUACAGAACACCAAUCGCGAAGGCAGCUCACUAAGCCAAAACUGACGCUCAUGCACGAAAGCGUGGGGAUCAAACAGGAUUAGAUACCCGGGUAGUC
This 459-nucleotide ribosomal RNA is filed under the name uncultured bacterium. RNAcentral's name for it is "partial 16S ribosomal RNA". It matches the Rfam family "Bacterial small subunit ribosomal RNA", at positions 339 to 795 of the family's 1533-position model. The record is from RNAcentral.